This 466-nucleotide ribosomal RNA is filed under the name uncultured bacterium. RNAcentral describes it as "partial 16S ribosomal RNA". It matches the Rfam family "Bacterial small subunit ribosomal RNA", at positions 28 to 507 of the family's 1533-position model. The record is from RNAcentral.
GAUGAACGCUGGCGGCGUGCUUAACACAUGCAAGUCGAACGACAACGCCCAGCUUGCUGGGUGGAUUAUUGGCGAACGCGGGAGUAACACGUGAGUAACCUGCCCUUCACACUGGGGUAAGCGCUGGAAACGGCGCCUACUCCCGUACACCGGCCUCCCCCCCGUGGUGAGUUGCUGGAAAGAAUUGCGGUCAGGGAUGGACUCGCGGCCUAUCAGGUAGUUGGUGGGGUAACGGCUGACCGAGCCGACGACGGGUAGCCGGCCUGAGAGGGUGAACGGCCACACUGGGACUGAGACACGGCCCAGAGGCCAACGGGAGGCAGCAGUGGGGAAUCUUGCACAAUGGGCGCAAGCCUGAUGCAGCGACGCCGCGUGUGGGAAGAAGGCCUUCGGGUAGUAAAACCCUUUUAGCAGGGAAGAAGCGAGAGUGGCGGUACCUGAAGAAAAAGCACCGGCUAACUACGUG